GUCCUCAUGGUUACUAGUCAGGUUCGUUGCCACUGAGCCUCGAUGGGAAUUCCCAUCCCCCACUUUGUUGUUUCCGUUGGCUUGGCUGCAGGUGCCACCUCUCAAGUCACUCCUUUACUAAGCCACCAUCCGCAGCAGAGGGACAGUCCACACCCUCGUUCAUGUCCACUGCACAAAUAGUACCGAGGACAAGCGUUCCUUUGAGCUCAGGGCCCCUGUCGCGCUUGGCCCCAUUGGAACCACUUGGUGGAACAUGUCAAAAGCACCGCUGAGGAGCCCACCCCCCGUACUCCUUGUCAUGAUCCGGUUGGUUGGGAGUGGGGUCCAGGCAGCUUAGAAGCUUCCCUGGCGAUUCUAACUGAAGUCAGGGUGGCCAGCCCCCGGUCUGCACGCGUGGUUUUCAAACUUUAACAUAUGCAUCUGGAUCACCUGGGGAGACCGCCUCCAUGAGGCGGCUCUGCAGUGGGGCCCACGGACCUGCCUUCCUCCCAAGUUUCCCGGGAGGUGGAUGCUGCGAGUCUGGGCCACGCUCUUGGGUAACCACCCAUCCAGACGAACCCGCGUGGGGCCUGCGGGUCUUUUCGCUCCCGGCGUCAUUCCCCACUCUGACCUGUCUGUAGUGAGCCACCCUGCCUUGCAUCUUGGGUCAUAGGUGGAAGUGAGGCUCCCCCUGCCCCCCAACUCCAGGAGCGAGAACAGGACCAAGUCUGGCUGAUCAGCAGAGGCUGCAGCUUGGCUCCCGAGAGCGGGUGGUUCCAGCAAUGGGCAUGUCACUUGGCCCUCCAGGGAGAGUCAGCCCUGGACUCGCGCCGGAACCCUUGGGAAGAAGUGCUAAGCUGGUAGGAUGCAAGCCUGGCGCUGCUGGCACCCAGCUUGUCUUGCGUGGGAAAAGCGUGCCUGAGGAUGAAGCAGGCAAAGGAGGCUGAAGAAGAGACUGAGAGAGACCGAAUCCUGACAACACUUCCUUAGCCCCUGCAUCCAGCUAAGCCUGAAUUUAGAUGCCAGUGUUUCUGUUAGACGAGUCAAUACAUUCCCUUGUUUGUGCAUCACAGGGAAUAUAACCAUUAUUUUGUAAAACCUUUAGAUGGAGUGUAAUUGACAAAAACAUCGAAGCCUUCAUGGUACGCCUGAAACUACUGUAACACUGUAAAUCAACCAGAUUGCAAUCAAUUCCCUUUUUGCUUAAGCCGGCUUGGGGUGGGCUUUGCUGUGUGCAACUCAAAAAGUGCCGUCCACCGGGACACAACUAAACGCUUCCCACCCAGACAGUGGGACGCCGGGCUCUCUCCUGGGUGCAGCUCCCACCAGGCAAUGACCUUCCAAGAGGCCCCAGAACCGAGCAGCAGAACUCCUAGCAUCGUUCGGUGCCGUUUCCCUCCUGGUGCGCGUGGGGGGACCUGGGGGACAGGUGGCUGAGGACGUGUCCUGAGACAUGCCUACCACAAAGCCUGGGAGAUCUGCCCUUGGCUCUGUCAAUAAAUCCACCCAGGAGGCGGGCGAUAACAGCCAGCAGGCGGUGCCACACACCGAGAGUCCCCUUCUCAAGGACACCCGCGCGGGGACGGGGCUGCCGCCUUCAGCACCAAAAAGAGCGUUAUUGUUUCAGUUUGUCUCACCGCCCUUGAACAAACACAGAGAGACGCUGUUGCUUCUCAUCGACCCAGUGGAGCGUAUGGAAACGGGAAAAUUCUUCUACGGGACAAGUGCGAGCUUUCGAGGGAAACGGAGCCUCCAGCCGUCUCACCACCCGCACCAACACUGACCACAUCUGGGGAGCACGCGCCUUUGUGUUCGCCUUAUCGGGGAAGGGUUAGGGCCACUGGGAGCUAACACAACCGAUGAAAGACCAGAAGCGCAGGCUUAGGUCAGCAGGAAUCAAGGAAACGCUGCGGGUCAAGACGCAGGAAGGAGGAACACCGGCCCCCUCCUUUGACCGGACAGAGGUCAGGACGGCAUCAGUGACACACAACGGCUAUUGCCACGAAGAGAACUGGCUCUGGCAGAAUGAAAGGCCACGGCGGAGAGCGUCUGACGCCCCACUGACGCAGCCAGGAGAUGGAACUAGCGCUGCCCCUUCGGACCAAGUUACCGCUCUGAGAGGUACCCUGGAGGAAUCAGGAGCACUUCCUUCGUGCCAGGGCCUGUGCUGGGCAUCAGAGAAAAGCUGCAAAUAAUAAAGAUGUCCGUAAAUAUUUAUUAAAGGCUCAUGGAUCUGAUGGCUCUUU
This is a long non-coding RNA of Sus scrofa (pig), 2225 nucleotides long. RefSeq lists it as uncharacterized. NCBI's taxonomy places the organism in Eukaryota, Metazoa, Chordata, Mammalia, Artiodactyla, Suidae. The record is from RefSeq and is a predicted model, not a curated record.